This 651-nucleotide ribosomal RNA is filed under the name uncultured Actinomycetes bacterium. RNAcentral describes it as "bacterial SSU rRNA". It matches the Rfam family "Bacterial small subunit ribosomal RNA", at positions 41 to 706 of the family's 1533-position model. Lineage: Bacteria; Bacillati; Actinomycetota; Actinomycetes. The record is from RNAcentral.
GGCGUGCUUAACACAUGCAAGUCGAGCGGAAAGGCUCCUUCGGGGGUACUCGAGCGGCGAACGGGUGAGUAACACGUGAGUAAUCUGCCCUUGGCUUCGGGAUAGCCACCGGAAACGGUGAUUAAUACCGGAUACGACACAUCACUGCAUGGUGCGUGUGUGGAAAGUUUUUUCGGCCAGGGAUGUGCUCGCGGCCUACCAGCUUGUUGGUGGGGUAAUGGCCUACCAAGGCUUCGACGGGUAGCCGGCCUGAGAGGGUGACCGGCCACACUGGGACUGAGACACGGCCCAGACUCCUACGGGAGGCAGCAGUGGGGAAUAUUGGACAAUGGGCGGAAGCCUGAUCCAGCAACGCCGCGUGAGGGAUGACGGCCUUCGGGUUGUAAACCUCUUUCAGCACAGACGAAGCGCAAGUGACGGUAUGUGCAGAAGAAGGACCGGCCAACUACGUGCCAGCAGCCGCGGUAAUACGUAGGGUCCGAGCGUUGUCCGGAAUUAUUGGGCGUAAAGGGCUCGUAGGCGGUUUGUCGCGUCGGGAGUGAAAACACCGGGCUUAACUCGGUGCUUGCUUUCGAUACGGGCAGACUAGAGGCAUUCAGGGGAGAACGGAAUUCCUGGUGUAGCGGUGAAAUGCGCAGAUAUCAGGAGGAA